GUCCUCUUAGCUCAGCUGGAUAGAGCAACAGCCUUCUAAGCUGUGGGUCGAUGGUUCGAAUCCAUCAGGGGACACCA
Molecule: transfer RNA, 77 nt
Filed under: Enterobacter phage vB_EclM_Q7622
Lineage: Duplodnaviria; Heunggongvirae; Uroviricota; Caudoviricetes; Pantevenvirales; Straboviridae
Also listed under: 1 other name
Description: tRNA-Arg
Rfam family: tRNA
About the family: Transfer RNA (tRNA) molecules are approximately 80 nucleotides in length. Their secondary structure includes four short double-helical elements and three loops (D, anti-codon, and T loops).
Source: RNAcentral